RNAcentral lists this ribosomal RNA (255 nucleotides) under uncultured bacterium. Its description in RNAcentral is "partial 16S ribosomal RNA". It matches the Rfam family "Bacterial small subunit ribosomal RNA", at positions 78 to 334 of the family's 1533-position model. The record is from RNAcentral.
UCUUUCUUUGCUGGCGACCGGCGCACGGGUGAGUAACACGUAUCCAACCUGCCCUUUACUCGGGGAUAGCCUUUCGAAAGAAAGAUUAAUACCCGAUAGCAUAAUGAUUCCGCAUGGUUUCAUUAUUAAAGGAUUCCGGUAAAGGAUGGGGAUGCGUUCCAUUAGGUUGUUGGUGGGGUAACGGCCCACCAAGCCUUCGAUGGAUAGGGGUUCUGAGAGGAAGGUCCCCCACAUUGGAACUGAGACACGGACCAA